This 225-nucleotide unclassified non-coding RNA is filed under the name uncultured Sphingomonadaceae bacterium. Its description in RNAcentral is "contains 16S-23S intergenic spacer region". It matches the Rfam family "Bacterial small subunit ribosomal RNA", at positions 977 to 1198 of the family's 1533-position model. Lineage: Bacteria; Pseudomonadati; Pseudomonadota; Alphaproteobacteria; Sphingomonadales; Sphingomonadaceae. The record is from RNAcentral.
AGCGUUUGACAUCCCGGUCGCGGGAUCCAGAGAUGGAUCCCUUCAGUUCGGCUGGACCGGUGACAGGUGCUGCAUGGCUGUCGUCAGCUCGUGUCGUGAGAUGUUGGGUUAAGUCCCGCAACGAGCGCAACCCUCGUCCUUAGUUGCUACCAUUUAGUUGGGCACUCUAAGGAAACCGCCGGUGAUAAGCCGGAGGAAGGUGGGGAUGACGUGUGCGUAACAGAA